GAACGCACAUUGCGCCCGGUGGUAUUCCACCGGGCAUGCCUGUUCGAGCGUCAUUUCAACCCUCAAAAAUAUUGUAUUUUUGGUGUUGGAGGAAUACCUGUAACAGGGUACCCUCUGAAAUUUAGUGGCGGGCUCGCUAGAAUUUUGAGCGUAGUAAUUAUACCUCGUUUUUAAAGACUAGUGGGACUUCUUGCCGUAAAACCCCCCAAACUUUCUGAAAUUUGACCUCGGAUCAGGUAGGAAUACCCGCUGAACUUAAG
Molecule: unclassified non-coding RNA, 260 nt
Filed under: Ophiognomonia intermedia
Lineage: Eukaryota; Fungi; Ascomycota; Sordariomycetes; Diaporthales; Gnomoniaceae
Description: sequence contains 5.8S rRNA gene
Rfam family: 5.8S ribosomal RNA (bases 1-53)
Source: RNAcentral